This 478-nucleotide ribosomal RNA is filed under the name uncultured bacterium. RNAcentral describes it as "partial 16S ribosomal RNA". It matches the Rfam family "Bacterial small subunit ribosomal RNA", at positions 28 to 523 of the family's 1533-position model. The record is from RNAcentral.
GACGAACGCUGGCGGCGUGCUUAACACAUGCAAGUCGAACGGUAAGGCCCUUCGGGGUACACGAGUGGCGAACGGGUGAGUAACACGUGAGUAACCUGCCCUUGACUCUGGGAUAACUGCUAGAAAUGGUAGCUAAUACCGGAUACGACCCUCGGCGGCAUCGCCAGGGGGUGGAAAGAAUUUCGGUCAAGGAUGGACUCGCGGCCUAUCAGCUAGUGGGUGAGGUAACGGCUCACCAAGGCGACGACGGGUAGCCGGCCGGAGAGGGUGACCGGCCACACUGGGACUGAGACACGGCGCAGACUCCUACGGGAGGCAGCAGUGGGGAAUAGUGCACAAUGGGCGCAAGCCUGAUGCAGCAACGCCGCGUGAGGGAUGACGGCCUUCGGGUUGUAAACCUCUUUUAGUAGGGAAGAAGCGAAAGUGACGGUACCUGCAGAAAAAGCACCGGCUAACUACGUGCCAGCAGCCGCGGUAA